Molecule: ribosomal RNA, 1014 nt
Filed under: Salmonella enterica
Lineage: Bacteria; Pseudomonadati; Pseudomonadota; Gammaproteobacteria; Enterobacterales; Enterobacteriaceae
Description: partial 23S ribosomal RNA
Rfam family: Bacterial large subunit ribosomal RNA
Source: RNAcentral
GGUUAAGCGACUAAGCGUACACGGUGGAUGCCCUGGCAGUCAGAGGCGAUGAAGGACGUGCUAAUCUGCGAUAAGCGCCGGUAAGGUGAUAUGAACCGUUAUAACCGGCGAUUUCCGAAUGGGGAAACCCAGUGUGACUCGUCACACUAUCAUUAACUGAAUCCAUAGGUUAAUGAGGCGAACCGGGGGAACUGAAACAUCUAAGUACCCCGAGGAAAAGAAAUCAACCGAGAUUCCCCCAGUAGCGGCGAGCGAACGGGGAGGAGCCCAGAGCCUGAAUCAGCAUGUGUGUUAGUGGAAGCGUCUGGAAAGGCGCGCGAUACAGGGUGACAGCCCCGUACACAAAAGCGCAUGUGCUGUGAGCUCGAUGAGUAGGGCGGGACACGUGGUAUCCUGUCUGAAUAUGGGGGGACCAUCCUCCAAGGCUAAAUACUCCUGACUGACCGAUAGUGAACCAGUACCGUGAGGGAAAGGCGAAAAGAACCCCGGCGAGGGGAGUGAAAAAGAACCUGAAACCGUGUACGUACAAGCAGUGGGAGCACCCUUUGGGGUGUGACUGCGUACCUUUUGUAUAAUGGGUCAGCGACUUAUAUUCUGUAGCAAGGUUAACCGAAUAGGGGAGCCGGAGGGAAACCGAGUCUUAAUUGGGCGUUAAGUUGCAGGGUAUAGACCCGAAACCCGGUGAUCUAGCCAUGGGCAGGUUGAAGGUUGGGUAACACUAACUGGAGGACCGAACCGACUAAUGUUGAAAAAUUAGCGGAUGACCUGUGGCUGGGGGUGAAAGGCCAAUCAAACCGGGAGAUAGCUGGUUCUCCCCGAAAGCUAUUUAGGUAGCGCCUCGUGAAUUCAUCUCCGGGGGUAGAGCACUGUUUCGGCUAGGGGGCCAUCCCGGCUUACCAACCCGAUGCAAACUGCGAAUACCGGAGAAUGUUAUCACGGGAGACACACGGCGGGUGCUAACGUCCGUCGUGAAGAGGGAAACAACCCAGACCGCCAGCUAAGGUCCCAAAGUCA